AGAGAGAGAGAGAGAGAUAGAAUUUUGAACCAGCAUAGCCAAGUUAAUGCGUGCGCGGAAAACUAGUCUCAUAGUCGUCGUGGCUAACGCGUUGGUUCGCGUCGAGUGUUUCGCGUUUAUUUGAUUGUUUCAAUUAUUUGUUGCUUAAUAAUGUGUUAAAAAACACAACUUUACGAUUGUGUUGGUUAUAAAUUAUGAAUUUUAAUUGUAAUUUUCAGUUUACAAUUUAGCCGUUCUGCAAAUAUCUCGAUUCCAAUAUUUUAACUUUUUUAUUUCAACGCAUAUGGAAAACUCUUAAUGAGGUCAAAGGGCUUUGAGUAACUGUUGUCAGUAUCGAACACAUCAAAAGAAAAACAGGAAACUUAUUUCUAUUCAUUAAUUUUUAUCCGGAAUACGCCCACGAUAAGGACCUACCUCUAUUGAAGAUGAGUCAGUAAAGUGGAUUAAUGGAUGACCCGGCACUGACUACCGGUUUUCAAAUAGUAAAACUAAGAGUCUCGGACACUGUAUUCAUUGUUUUUACUUGUGCAGAAAAAUGUUGUAAUACAUAUGUGAUGGAAAAUAAUACAUUUAGGAGGGGUCAGUCAACUUAGGUGUCUUGUCGCGUAUGGUUUAUACUAACGUGUAUAUUUUUGAAUUAUAUUGCUUUGUAUAUUAAUAUUAUAAUAAAAUACUUUACAAUA
Molecule: long non-coding RNA, 683 nt
Organism: Daktulosphaira vitifoliae (grape phylloxera)
Lineage: Eukaryota; Metazoa; Arthropoda; Insecta; Hemiptera; Phylloxeridae
Exons: 2
Source: RefSeq, a predicted model, not a curated record